Molecule: small nuclear RNA, 107 nt
Organism: Psammomys obesus (fat sand rat)
Lineage: Eukaryota; Metazoa; Chordata; Mammalia; Rodentia; Muridae
Source: RefSeq, a predicted model, not a curated record
GUGCUCACUCGGCAGCACAUAUACUAAAAAUUGGAACGAUACAGAGAAAAUUAGCAUGGCCCCUGAGCAAGGAUGACACACAAAUUUGUGAAGCGUUCCAUAUUUUU